GUAUUAAAUAAUAUGUCAUCAUUUACAUAUUGACUUCUCCAUGUUCACAUGAGUCCGGAGGUAGUGUGUGUGUGUAACAGACAUCCACAGAGAGACAACAGUGAGUCUCCAAUCAGAUUGGGAUGUCUAGUUGGUGUGGACGAGAUGGACGAAAAGGUCUGUUUCCGUGCUGUGUGACCAUGUGACUUUGUUAGUCUCAGGACAUCUUUCCUCCACAACAUCCUGGACCCUGCAACAUUUACAAAUCUUUAGCAAUGGUGAAAUGAAGACAGAAUCUGCCUGGCUUUAACCACAAUGUCAGGGUGCUAUGUAAAGUUUGAAGAUCAUCAGUGCUGGCAAUGUCACGCUGGGUUAUAAAAUGGUCAGCAGGCAUAAAAAAAAAAUAAAAAGCACAUGUUUAAUGUUUUAAA
Molecule: long non-coding RNA, 410 nt
Organism: Rhincodon typus (whale shark)
Lineage: Eukaryota; Metazoa; Chordata; Chondrichthyes; Orectolobiformes; Rhincodontidae
Exons: 2
Source: RefSeq, a predicted model, not a curated record